Molecule: long non-coding RNA, 1314 nt
Organism: Rhagoletis zephyria (snowberry fruit fly)
Lineage: Eukaryota; Metazoa; Arthropoda; Insecta; Diptera; Tephritidae
Source: RefSeq, a predicted model, not a curated record
AAACGUGCAAGUGGCAGGCAGCAGCGUUCACAAUCAGCGGCUAAUCGGCAAUAUUCUACAUUUUACACUAGUAUGGCAAGAACAUUUAGCAGCAUUGCGGUGGCAGCGUUGAACGAAUGUAUGUAUUUACUAGGGAAUUGACAGCAGUUGCGGCAUUUGUGCUGGCUGAGCGAGAUAAUACGAAUAUGUUCGUUGGUGUUAAAACAUUAGCAAGCAUUUGCAUUUGAUUUUCGGAAUUGGUUGGACGUUUGAUUUUUUGCUUGCGUUUUAAUUUGUGUUGCUGUGUUUUUGGCAUUGUUUUGCUUUUUCUUGGAUUUGUUUUUCCGGCGGUUGCAUUGGAAUUAUUGGGAAGUGAAUUGCUAACGGCGAACACACUCAUAUACGGUCUUCGGGUGGUAACAGUUCGUUGGCGCCUCCUACUGCUAGAAUUUGUGGAGUCGAAUUAAUGAACUAAACGGAGUUAACGGUAAAGGAAUUUAGUGAUGUGAAUUAAUUACCGACAUGUGGAAAUGAAUCAACAACAAAUAAUGCAUUGAAAAAUAUACAGUCAGGAAAAUUUUAAAAUAACAGUUAAAAUUUGUGCUCGUGCUUUAAAUCGCAAUAAAUAAUCCAUUGAAGAAAACUCUGAAGUUGAAAAACUGGUCGAAAGGAUUCUCAAAUUUCUAAAUUUCAUAUUAAAACAGAUGGAAAAAGAAUAAAAAGCAAAAAACCAACAAUAAUACUUUAAAAAAAAGUGCAGUGGAUACUCAAAAUUUAUGAUUCAAUAAAUAAUAUAUUUUCAAAUCGUAAAAAAGUUAUGUGCUACAGAGUAAUUAACUGUAAAUUCCUUUAAAAGCAUUUAAAAAUCAAUGCGAAAGAAGAAAAGCUUGAAGCUUUACGAAAAAAUUAACCAAGUGGUACUUUAAAAAGAUAUCUUAAAAAUAAACAAAUUAAACCUUAGUACUCAAAAAAAGAGUAUGGAGACAAAUUUACUAGUGAUUUAAAAAGAUUAAAUUUGAACUAGUGCAUCUGCGUGAUCCUUGACUGCUUCUGCCUCUACAUUCAAAACAUAGUGCCAGCGAGUAAAAGAAACCCACUUUCACUACCAUAUACCCUACCAUUGCCAUUAACCAUUCAGGGUCUCAAAACAGUAAUAACAAAAAAAAAAAUCACCUACAAAAACAACUUUGCGCAAACUGUAUUUACUUACAAGUAAACAACUUUAGAAUCGAAAAUAAAAUUUAAAAUUCAAUAGAAAUUAACUAGACAUGCUGUGCAUUUUGUGCGGCAUAAACAAAUAAAAACAUUUGUCUGCGAUUUGUUAAUUAAUAAAAA